AAAAAAAAAAAAAAAAAAAAAGUCAUAAUUUCCCCAAAUAUUCAUUUCUCGCAGAAGAAAUCAGAAAAUAUUCUCAAUUUCUCAGCAUCCAAACGCCCUUCAUCAGCAUCACCAUCAUCAUUAUCAUCAUGUUGUGGAUGGAGAUCCUUUGUGGUCUAAUCAUUUACAAGUUGUACCGCCGCUUCUUCUCCGACGAUGACGAUCUUUUGGAGGUCGAAUCCUCGGAUACCACUGCUCUUUUCAACGUUGCUAAUAGACUUGAAAAGCUUUAUGGAGGAAAGGUGUAUGUCGGUCUUCGAAUUCCAGAUGCUGAUACUGGUUCACGACAGAACGUGGAUAUGGUACUUGUUACCAAAGGGGAGGCAGUGGUGAUCUCUGUCAAGAAUUUGUCAGGAUUGGUAACAAUUAGUGGUGAUGGCAGCUGGGUUUGUGAAAGUAGUAAACACAAGGCAGAGCAUUUUCCUGAUCCUGUGGGGGAGACAAAGAAACAAGCAUCUGUUCUUGAAUCAUAUUUAGAACAAAGGGGAGUUGCUCUACCAGAAGGAUAUUUGUCUUACAAAGUUGUGCUUCCAAAUCCAAAGUUCUGGUAUGUGUUGAACCUUCUUAAGGAUGUAUUUAUUAACAUGGUGAAAGGGAAUUAUUGAAAUGAGCUCACAUACACCCGCACACACGUGCCGAUCCUGGACAAGGUAUGUUCUGGUUUGAGAUUUGCACUUUGGGCUUUGUGGUUGUGGCUACAAUUUUUCAUUAGAUUAUUGGAAUUUUUUUUGCUUGUCUGAUUUAAUAUAACUGGAUUCAAUAUGCCUUAAAUAUCCUUUAUUAUGUCUUCUAAGAGGUUUGGAGUAAUUGGGUUUUAGCAGUGAACAACUUCAUUUAAUAUUAGGGCGACUAACUUUCAUAAUAUUUGAGGCACAAUUAUGGUUCUUUAACCCGUUAUAUACAAUCUCAGGUCACCUCCUUAAUGUUGUGACGCAGCAUGAAGCUUAGAUAAACACAACAAACACAAGUGCUUUAGAGAAAAUCUCUGCUGAAAUUUUAUUAACUGAAAACUCAAAAAACUGAAAACAUGGUUGUCAAAUCAAGAUUCAGAGAUUCGAAUAGGGAAUCAAAAUCUUUAUUUUGUUAAUCAAGAAUCAAGAAUUGAAUUGAAUCGAAUCGUAAGAUUCGAUAAAAAUUCUCAAAAUUAAUUGAAAAUGAUAUAUAUUCUAAAAAAAAUAAGUCAAAAAAUGUGUCACAAUAAUAUAUUUUGAUAAAUAUAGAAUUAUCGUUUAGCUAAU
Molecule: unclassified non-coding RNA, 1277 nt
Filed under: Hevea brasiliensis (rubber tree)
Lineage: Eukaryota; Viridiplantae; Streptophyta; Magnoliopsida; Malpighiales; Euphorbiaceae
Source: RNAcentral